RNAcentral lists this ribosomal RNA (620 nucleotides) under Curtobacterium sp. Ri3Pt_4237. Its description in RNAcentral is "bacterial SSU rRNA". It matches the Rfam family "Bacterial small subunit ribosomal RNA", at positions 396 to 1027 of the family's 1533-position model. The record is from RNAcentral. Lineage: Bacteria; Bacillati; Actinomycetota; Actinomycetes; Micrococcales; Microbacteriaceae.
GCCGCGUGAGGGAGACGGCCAUCGGGUUGUAAACCUCUUUUAGUAGGGAAGAAGCGAAAGUGACGGUACCUGCAGAAAAAGCACCGGCUAACUACGUGCCAGCAGCCGCGGUAAUACGUAGGGUGCAAGCGUUGUCCGGAAUUAUUGGGCGUAAAGAGCUCGUAGGCGGUUUGUCGCGUCUGCUGUGAAAUCCCGAGGCUCAACCUCGGGCUUGCAGUGGGUACGGGCAGACUAGAGUGCGGUAGGGGAGAUUGGAAUUCCUGGUGUAGCGGUGGAAUGCGCAGAUAUCAGGAGGAACACCGAUGGCGAAGGCAGAUCUCUGGGCCGUAACUGACGCUGAGGAGCGAAAGCAUGGGGAGCGAACAGGAUUAGAUACCCUGGUAGUCCAUGCCGUAAACGUUGGGCGCUAGAUGUAGGGACCUUUCCACGGUUUCUGUGUCGUAGCUAACGCAUUAAGCGCCCCGCCUGGGGAGUACGGCCGCAAGGCAAAAACUCAAAGGAAUUGACGGGGGCCCGCACAAGCGGCGGAGCAAGCGGACUAAUUCGAUGCAACGCGAAGAACCUUACCAAGGCUUGACAUACACCGGAAACGGCCAGAGAUGGUCGCCCCCUUGUGAGUC